This 616-nucleotide ribosomal RNA is filed under the name Microbacterium sp. Its description in RNAcentral is "bacterial SSU rRNA". It matches the Rfam family "Bacterial small subunit ribosomal RNA", at positions 430 to 1057 of the family's 1533-position model. The record is from RNAcentral. Lineage: Bacteria; Bacillati; Actinomycetota; Actinomycetes; Micrococcales; Microbacteriaceae.
GCUGUUUUAGCAGGGAAGAAGCGAGAGUGACGGUACCUGCAGAAAAAGCGCCGGCUAACUACGUGCCAGCAGCCGCGGUAAUACGUAGGGCGCAAGCGUUAUCCGGAAUUAUUGGGCGUAAAGAGCUCGUAGGCGGUUUGUCGCGUCUGCUGUGAAAUCCCGAGGCUCAACCUCGGGCCUGCAGUGGGUACGGGCAGACUAGAGUGCGGUAGGGGAGAUUGGAAUUCCUGGUGUAGCGGUGGAAUGCGCAGAUAUCAGGAGGAACACCGAUGGCGAAGGCAGAUCUCUGGGCCGUAACUGACGCUGAGGAGCGAAAGGGUGGGGAGCAAACAGGCUUAGAUACCCUGGUAGUCCACCCCGUAAACGUUGGGAACUAGUUGUGGGGUCCAUUCCACGGAUUCCGUGACGCAGCUAACGCAUUAAGUUCCCCGCCUGGGGAGUACGGCCGCAAGGCUAAAACUCAAAGGAAUUGACGGGGACCCGCACAAGCGGCGGAGCAUGCGGAUUAAUUCGAUGCAACGCGAAGAACCUUACCAAGGCUUGACAUAUACGAGAACGGGCCAGAAAUGGUCAACUCUUUGGACACUCGUAAACAGGUGGUGCAUGGUUGUCGUCA